GUCGGAGUGGCGGAAUAGGCAGACGCGCCAGGUUGAGGGCCUGGUGCCCGAAUAGGGCGUAGGGGUUCAAGUCCCCUCUCCGACACCA
RNAcentral lists this transfer RNA (88 nucleotides) under Actinomycetes bacterium. Its description in RNAcentral is "tRNA-Leu". It matches the Rfam family "tRNA". From Rfam's summary of the family: Transfer RNA (tRNA) molecules are approximately 80 nucleotides in length. Their secondary structure includes four short double-helical elements and three loops (D, anti-codon, and T loops). Lineage: Bacteria; Bacillati; Actinomycetota; Actinomycetes. The record is from RNAcentral. RNAcentral also lists the same sequence under 4 other names.